GGGGAAUCUUGCGCAAUGGGCGAAAGCCUGACGCAGCGACGCCGCGUGAGUGAUGAAGGCCCUCGGGUUGUAAAGCUCUGUGGGGAGAGGCGAAUAAGGGCCGGCUAAUACCCGGCUCGAUGACGGUAUCUCCUUAGCAAGCACCGGCCAACUCUGUGCCAGCAGCCGCGGUAAGACAGAGGGUGCAAACGUUGUUCGGAAUUACUGGGCGUAAAGCGCGUGUAGGCGGCAGGGUGUGUCGGAUGUGAAAUCCCGUGGCUCAACCACGGAAGUGCACCCGAAACUACCCAGCUCGAGUCUCGGAGAGGAAGGUGGAAUGCUUGGUGUAGAGGUGAAAUUCGUAGAUAUCAAGCGGAACACCGGUGGCGAAGGCGGCCUUCUGGACGAUGACUGACGCUGAGACGCGAAAGCGUGGGGAGCAAA
RNAcentral lists this ribosomal RNA (423 nucleotides) under uncultured bacterium. Its description in RNAcentral is "bacterial SSU rRNA". It matches the Rfam family "Bacterial small subunit ribosomal RNA", at positions 356 to 772 of the family's 1533-position model. The record is from RNAcentral.